UCACGCAUCGCGUCUCCCCCAAACCCACCUCGAGUGGAGGGGAAGGACGAUGGCUUCCCGUGUCUCACCGGACGCGGCUGGCCUAAAAUAGGAGCCCUCGGUACCGGGAUGCCGCGNCGAUAGGUGGUGAACAUGGCCACGGCCAAGCAAGCAACCCGUCGCGCAUCGCCAUGCCAAUGCGAGCUCGAAGGACCCUUUGACGUUGCCUUGUUGCAACCAAACCGUUGCGAC
Molecule: ribosomal RNA, 231 nt
Filed under: Viscaria alpina
Lineage: Eukaryota; Viridiplantae; Streptophyta; Magnoliopsida; Caryophyllales; Caryophyllaceae
Source: RNAcentral